GUCGACACCAUGUUAGAAGUAGCCUGUGUCUUGCUGGCUCUGCGGAAUUUUACAAAUGAAUAUGUGAAAUCAGUUUUAGAAGUACUUUUACGUAGGAGGUGGCAGAGGCAGGAAGUCAGUCAUGUACUCCGGCUGUGUGGGAGGUAAAAAAACAGGGACUUCGUGGUAAUUCAAAAAACAUCAAACACAAGGAAGCUGACAUCUGUAGGUUUUUGUGUUCCUGUCUUCCAAGGGAUGAAGUGAAGUAUUAAAUGUAGUGAUGAGUGGAGUUUGAUGUUCCUACUCAUGGUUCUAACAGGUUCUAAGGCAAAAUGCAUUUAGUAUUCAACAAUGCAUAAACAAUAAAGGGUCACUUGUGAGACUCCUUGUUUUAGAUUGCAAAAUGCCUGGAUCAUUAUGACUUUGCCCUUUGUUGAAAUUAAA
Molecule: long non-coding RNA, 423 nt
Organism: Lingula anatina
Lineage: Eukaryota; Metazoa; Brachiopoda; Lingulata; Lingulida; Lingulidae
Source: RefSeq, a predicted model, not a curated record